RNAcentral lists this ribosomal RNA (369 nucleotides) under uncultured organism. RNAcentral's name for it is "bacterial SSU rRNA". It matches the Rfam family "Bacterial small subunit ribosomal RNA", at positions 525 to 896 of the family's 1533-position model. The record is from RNAcentral.
CCGGAGGGUGCAAGCGUUAUCCGGAUUCACUGGGUUUAAAGGGUGCGUAGGUGGGUUGGUAAGUCAGUGGUGAAAUCUCCGUGCUUAACAUGGAAACUGCCAUUGAUACUACUGAUCUUGAAUUUUCUGGAGGUAAGCGGAAUAUGUCAUGUAGCGGUGAAAUGCUUAGAUAUGACAUAGAACACCAAUUGCGAAGGCAGCUUGCUACAGGGAUAUUGACACUGAGGCACGAAAGCGUGGGGAUCAAACAGGAUUAGAUACCCUGGUAGUCCACGCCCUAAACGAUGGAUACUCGACAUUUGCGAUACACAGUAAGUGUCUGAGCGAAAGCAUUAAGUAUCCCACCUGGGAAGUACGACCGCAAGGUUG